RNAcentral lists this ribosomal RNA (491 nucleotides) under uncultured bacterium. RNAcentral describes it as "partial 16S ribosomal RNA". It matches the Rfam family "Bacterial small subunit ribosomal RNA", at positions 29 to 506 of the family's 1533-position model. The record is from RNAcentral.
AGUGAACGCUGGCGGUAGGCCUAACACAUGCAAGUCGAACGGCAGCACAGUAAGAGCUUGCUCUUACGGGUGGCGAGUGGCGGACGGGUGAGGAAUACAUCGGAAUCUACUUUUUCGUGGGGGAUAACGUAGGGAAACUUACGCUAAUACCGCAUACGACCUACGGGUGAAAGCAGGGGAUCUUCGGACCUUGCGCGAUUGAAUGAGCCGACGUCGGAUUAGCUAGUUGGCGGGGUAAAGGCCCACCAAGGCGACGAUCCGUAGCUGGUCUGAGAGGAUGAUCAGCCACACUGGAACUGAGACACGGUCCAGACUCGUGCGGGAGGCAGCAGUGGGAAAUAUUGGGCAAUGGGCGCAAGCCUGAUCCAGCCAUACCGCGUGGGUGAAGAAGGCCUUCGGGUUGUAAAGCCCUUUUGUUGGGAAAGAAAAGCGGCAGGUUAAUACCGCGCUGUUCUGACGGUACCCAAAGAAUAAGCACCGGCUAACUUCGU